UGGGGAAUAUUGCACAAUGGGGGGGAACCCGUGAUGCAGCGACGCCGCGUGGGUGAAGGAGUAUUUCGGUAUGUAAAGCCCUAUCAGCAGGGAAGAACAAUGACGGUACCUGACUAAGAAGCACCGGCUAAAUACGUGCC
RNAcentral lists this ribosomal RNA (140 nucleotides) under uncultured bacterium. Its description in RNAcentral is "partial 16S ribosomal RNA". It matches the Rfam family "Bacterial small subunit ribosomal RNA", at positions 355 to 509 of the family's 1533-position model. The record is from RNAcentral.